CCUUUCUGAAUGUAGCUCAUCUAAUCCAUGGAUUACAGACCCACAAGUUUUUCCUGAUUCGCUAUAGUCUUCAAGAAACAAAACAAAACAGCUUUGCAAAGUGUUUUAGGACUUACAGCCUUGUCUUCCAGGAUCAUACCAUUUCAUCCAGGCUGGAAGCAGACAACCAGGCUACAUGAACAAGCUAUGAAGACUCAAGUGGAUGUGUAAUGAGAGCAAACAGCACUCCUAGAAACAUUAGCCUGGUGCCGAGUGGUAUAUGCAAUUGAUCUAGUGUUGACAGGUAUAAAUGCUAAGCACUUGAAUAAAACCAAACCAAAUAAACUCUAUGAUCUUGUGACUCCUGAAUUUAGAGGUGGCAAGGGAACAGAGAGAUCACCUAACCACCACUUUGUAAAGGAAUAGAUCCAGGGAGGAAGUCAUUUGUCCAAGAUCACAGAGAAUAAGGUACAAAAACAGUCUGAAUCCUUUAAAGUAAAAUGCUUUUUUAAAAGAAGCCACCAUUCCUCAAAUCUUCUGGGGAAGGGUUAAUUCUGAAAGGUGUAAAAUGAAGGGAAAUAUUUUCA
Molecule: long non-coding RNA, 566 nt
Organism: Phascolarctos cinereus (koala)
Lineage: Eukaryota; Metazoa; Chordata; Mammalia; Diprotodontia; Phascolarctidae
Source: RefSeq, a predicted model, not a curated record